GUGGGGAAUAUUGCACAAUGGGCGAAAGCCUGAUGCAGCGACGCCGCGUGAGCGAAGAAGUAUUUCGGUAUGUAAAGCUCUAUCAGCAGGGAAGAAGAAUGACGGUACCUGACUAAGAAGCACCGGCUAAAUACGUGCCAGCAGCCGCGGUAAUACGUAUGGUGCAAGCGUUAUCCGGAUUUACUGGGUGUAAAGGGAGCGCAGGCGGUGCGGCAAGUCUGAUGUGAAAGCCCGGGGCUCAACCCCGGUACUGCAUUGGAAACUGUCGUACUAGAGUGUCGGAGGGGUAAGUGGAAUUCCUAGUGUAGCGGUGAAAUGCGUAGAUAUUAGGAGGAACACCAGUGGCGAAGGCGGCUUACUGGACGAUAACUGACGCUGAGGCUCGAAAGCGUGGGGAGCAAACAGGAUUAGAUACCCGAGUAGUCC
This 426-nucleotide ribosomal RNA is filed under the name uncultured bacterium. RNAcentral describes it as "partial 16S ribosomal RNA". It matches the Rfam family "Bacterial small subunit ribosomal RNA", at positions 354 to 796 of the family's 1533-position model. The record is from RNAcentral.